Brachypodium distachyon (stiff brome) is the source of this 3445-nucleotide long non-coding RNA. RefSeq lists it as uncharacterized. The record is from RefSeq and is a predicted model, not a curated record. NCBI's taxonomy places the organism in Eukaryota, Viridiplantae, Streptophyta, Magnoliopsida, Poales, Poaceae. The transcript has 2 exons.
UUAGCUCAUUGGAGGUGGGAGAAUUAAAGAGAAUAGAGACGGUGGUUGGCACCUUCCCAAUGCAUUUUCUAUCUCGCUUCUUAAUCUUUUUCUAUCUCGCUUCUUAAUCUUUUUGGAAUUCCCACAUGUACACUUUUUUGUGGACGGAGGGAGUAGAUCUGCAAGAAAUAGGCUAACUCCUGCCCGAGCUGAGGCUUUUUAGUGUUCUCAUAUGGAAGUGGACCAAGCAAGAUGUGGGAUGUUGGGGGAGAUGGAGUUGAGAGCUUCACUGGUGUUGGCAUGCUUGAAGGUGCUGAACUUUCACUUGAUAAACCAGAGUAGGAAGGGGAGAUAUUGGAUGAUAUCACUUGAGGCUUCGGUCCUUCACCUUUUGCUUCAAGGCUUCCGGUUAUCUUAUUUAUGUUCCUUUCAUCAUGUACUGUAAUGCAAUCUUUGACUAUGGUUUGUUCUUUGUGGCCACUUGAGCCUUGUAUACUCGUACUUACCAUCAUGUUAUGUUAGUGGACUUUAUAUUUUUGUCUAGUGUUACUUGCUAUAUAUGCUAUGUUCUUCUAUGUUUUGUAGGAUUAUUGCUAUUGAAGCAUUGAGGAACAGGAAGUAGGCACGCAUCAAAUGGGGCAGUAUCUUUUGUUCUCUUACUAAUUACAUUUUUUAAUUAUUCCCCGUAUCUGGAAAAUGCCGUAUCCCGUGUCCCCGUAUGCGUGUCGCCGUGUCCGUGUAGCUGUGUCGGUGCAAUGUAGCUUGUCAGUGAGUGUUUUGACACGUUUGUCCCACAACUUCUAUUUCUGUUGGAAGUGUGGCUAUGUGUUACACCUGCCAUAUGACUUUUGGUACUCUGUUUUUUAUAGGUAUUAAUGUAGUUUUGUGAAAAUAUUACAUCUGAAAUUGUGGUUAUGUGAAAUACUGAAAUGUUACAUGUGAAAGUUUGAUUGUUGGAGAGAUUAGUUUCAUGAAAUGAUUUUAUCUAGGGUUAAUUGGAUAUAUGCCAUUAUAAUUUCCACCGGUUGGAGAUAUGCCAUUACAAAAACUUGACUCGGAGAAAUGCCACUCUAACUUUUAUAUACCUCUAUUCAUGCAAUUUUCUCCAAUACCAACACGUAUAUUGUCUAAAUACGUAUAGACAUAGCUCUAUACGAACAAUUUUUUUCCCAUCCCAAGUCAAACAAUUUUAUUCCACGCGUUCCUCAUAUCCCGUCCCCAACGGUGGACUCAUAUUACGGUUUUUUAUUUUCUGUAAUUUUUAUAGAUUUUUCUGAGAAGAUUGAUUUUUGGGCCAAAUUUGAUUUUUUUAACCUUUAUGGCGUCUGGAAAACUCGAACGUACUGCUGAACAUUGUAAAUAGGGGUAUUAUGGUAAAUACUGUUGUACACGUUGAAAUUCAUGUAUUUUAUGAACACUUAUUGGUCUUAAGUGGACAGAAUGGCAUUGAUAGAGGUAUAAGAAAGUUAGAGUGACAUUUCUCCAAAUCAAGUUUUUGUAAUGCCAUAUCUCCAACCAAUGAAAUGGAGUGACAUAGAUCCAAUUAACCCUUUUAUCUAUGUGUAGUUUGAUGUGGCAAUGAAGCGUAGUUACAUGAUAGUUUCUAGCAUUCCCAAGUGUCCAAUAAAUCUCUACUAGCAUUAACACACAGUUUACCCAUCCCUCACGGUCCAGUCGCUGUGGGCCGUCGAAUAUGAUCUCUAUGAAUGUCCCAGAUUACCCCUCUCCAGCGAACGAAAAAAACAUGAAGAAACCGCCCCACGCCGGCUCUUCUCCCCACUCCCCACGCGGUCGCGCCGCCUGUCGCGCCACCUCUUCUCCCACACGCCGCCUGCCACCGCCCCUCCACCUCCUCUCUCCCUCUGCUCGCCGCCUCAUCUCCCAAUUUCUGGCCACCGCCAGCCAUUCGCUCCCUCAUCUCCCUCGUACGCUCGUCGCGCGCCACUCCGGCUCCCACGGCACGCGUUCCUCGUCGUCUGCCUCGUGUCCUAUGGGCUCCACCUGCUGCUGUGUUCCAAGCUCCACGCCUUGCCGCCGGCCUCCACUUCCCAGCGUCCAUCAUCCGUGCGAGAUCACGAGGUGCAAACUGCCCCUCUACCACGCCAUCGUCCUCCGCCAACCCCAACCCCACCACCACCGCCGCCGACACCUCCCGCUUCGGGUCCUACCCACCGCGACUGCCACCCAAGGCACCCAUGGCGGCAAAAGGAGAGGAGGUCCGUAGGAUGGUGGGAAGAAGAGGAAGGAGUGCAGGAGAAGUUGCUGAAGGGGCAACAUCGCAGUGACGGCCAAGAAACCGUCGAGGUACUUGGCAAAGGAGAAUUGAAAUGGAUUAGGUGCCAGACUAUGAACUGAUUAGGCGGGACAGAAUGGCCAGAAACAAGCAAUUAAUGAAGGAAGGUAACUUACUAACUUUCCUGGUUUACCUUAUAUAGAAAAGCUAGCUCCAAGCCUUAUCGCAACAAUCCUCAAGAACAAAACAAGGACAAACACCAUGAUGACUCUGGUUCUAGUUCUGAUUUCGAUCCAAAUGCCCAAGAUGAGACAGUCGAUGCGGAGGAUGAGCCACAUGGUGCUAAGUGCAAAGCUAAGGUGCUCAAUAACCACAUCACUAAAACUGAAAAAUUGAAACCUGCUUGACACUCUUCUAGCCUGAGACAGAUCUCCUUAUUUCCUUUUGUUUUUGCCAUCUAUUUCAACUGAGAAACGAUUUAGGAUUUUUACUCUUUGUUGUCGGCAAAGCAGAAAACAUCUUAUUUUCAAUAUUUUAGUAUUCUCAGUCUAUGUUUGCCUUAAAAAUUGGACAUCGGGACGAUAUGGGUUCCGUCGCGAAACACGGGCACCUUGCUACUGUAUAGAAAAUUAUACAGUCGUAGAUGGAUUCCUGACAACCAGCUACAAGCCAGUAAUAGUUCAGAGUAACCAAUGUGAAAUUAAAUAAGGAUAUCAUGUCCAUUAAGGCAUUAACUCUAUGCAAAUUGGCCUAACACGUACAGUUAAUGAGCCAUAAUACUAGUUAUCAACCUCUACACUUGUAUAGACUUUUAAAGAGCACAUAAAAAUCAAUAGUUUUUAAAGAAUCACUCUCUGAAGUGUUGAGGCUCGCUCAAGUUGAAGCGUUCUGAAGUGCUGGGGACCUCGGAAGUGUUGAUGCCAUCUCAUGUAAUGAAGCUCUCUGCUGGGUUGUUUAGGUUGUAGUUCUGGUGGUUGAAUUGUCUGUCUUUCUGUUGGUUCUGUACUGUUAAACUGUUUUUGGUGGUUCUCCUUGUGUUAGGGUUGAGUGGGAGGGGCAGGUUUUCGUCCCGUAGUCAGUUUCUGAUUGCGGAAGCUGGUCAGCGGGUUUCCUGCCCAUUUAGUAGGUUUAUUUCUGUUUUUCCCCUGCUUGUCGGUUUGUUCGCAGACUUUGUAUUUCCGUUAGCAAUAAUGGAAAGGGGGGAGACCCCAGGUGAAUAAUUUUUGAACAAAA